CCUACGGGUGGCAGCAGUGGGGAAUAUUGGACAAUGGGCGAAAGCCUGAUCCAGCCAUGCCGCGUGUGUGAAGAAGGCCUUCGGGUUGUAAAGCACUUUCAGUGGGGAAGAAAGCCUUGGGGCUAAUACCCUCGAGGAAGGACAUCACCCACAGAAGAAGCACCGGCUAACUCCGUGCCAGCAGCCGCGGUAAUACGGAGGGUGCGAGCGUUAAUCGGAAUUACUGGGCGUAAAGCGCGCGUAGGCGGUCUGAUAAGCCGGUUGUGAAAGCCCCGGGCUCAACCUGGGAACGGCAUCCGGAACUGUCGGGCUAGAGUGCAGGGGAGGAAGGUAGAAAGCCCGGUGUAGGAGGGAAAUGCGUAGAGAUCGGGAGGAAUACCAGUGGCGAAGGCGGCCUUCUGGACUGACACUGACGCUGAGGUGCGAAAGCGUGUGUAGCGAACAGGAUUAGAGACCCCAGUAGUC
This 465-nucleotide ribosomal RNA is filed under the name Vreelandella stevensii. RNAcentral's name for it is "partial 16S ribosomal RNA". It matches the Rfam family "Bacterial small subunit ribosomal RNA", at positions 338 to 795 of the family's 1533-position model. The record is from RNAcentral. Lineage: Bacteria; Pseudomonadati; Pseudomonadota; Gammaproteobacteria; Oceanospirillales; Halomonadaceae.